Small nuclear RNA from Lampris incognitus (smalleye Pacific opah), 164 nucleotides. RefSeq annotates it as U1 spliceosomal RNA. The transcript has a single exon. The record is from RefSeq and is a predicted model, not a curated record. Lineage: Eukaryota; Metazoa; Chordata; Actinopteri; Lampriformes; Lampridae.
AGACUUACCUGGCAGGAAAGAUACCAUGAUCAAGAAGGUGGUUCACCCAGGGCGAGGCUCGACCAUUGCACUCCGGGUGUGCUGACCCCUGUGAGUUCCCCAAAGUUCGGAAUCUCGGGUGCAUAAUUUCCGGUAGUGGGGGACUAAGUUCACGCUUUCCCCUG